GAAAUUGGGAGGCGAUACAUAUUCUAAAAUUGGAACGAGACAGAGCAGAUUAGCAUAGCUCCUACGCAAGGAUGACACGCAAAUUCGUGAAGCGUUCAGUAUUUUU
Small nuclear RNA from Octopus sinensis (East Asian common octopus), 106 nucleotides. The record is from RefSeq and is a predicted model, not a curated record. Lineage: Eukaryota; Metazoa; Mollusca; Cephalopoda; Octopoda; Octopodidae.